AGUCCCAGUCAUUACAUUUCACUUUUUCAAGUUUUUUGAAAACAUUAAGCCUUUCAACUGUAAAAUAAAACUGUAAAUUUUUGAAUGUAUCAUCACAUACGAACACAGAAGGACCUCUGGAUUAUUAAAUGUAGAAUUUUCUUGG
Thalassophryne amazonica is the source of this 145-nucleotide long non-coding RNA. RefSeq lists it as uncharacterized. Lineage: Eukaryota; Metazoa; Chordata; Actinopteri; Batrachoidiformes; Batrachoididae. The record is from RefSeq and is a predicted model, not a curated record. The transcript has 3 exons.